UCUCUGCAUAUCUACAAUAAGUUCAAUCCUUGACAAUUGGCGGCAGAGCCAUCAACUGACUGGGAUAAUUAAGAAAUUUCUAAUUGUGUGACUUUAAAAAAUGUGCAGCUGAUUUACAAGGUUUUAUCUCACAGAAUGCUUACCUGAACAUUGUGGAAGUAUGGUUUAGAACAAAGGCCUCUGAAGUAAAUGGCUUUUCUAAAUAGCACACGUGAUUUAGCGUCCACCAAUAAAAUGUCAAUUUGGACUUGGAGUUGAGAAAUGACAGUAGGGAGCCAAGUGUGGGAGAUGUGACCAGUUUCUCCGGAAUAUCUCUGCAACUCUCUAGAAACUUGACAUUAAGCUAUUUGAAGUCAUUCACUUUGUAGAAAAGAAAGGAUAUUAAACUAUAAUGAAGACUGAAGACUAUGGAUACUACGGAAGCCAUCCUUGUGAACACACUGGCUUUAUCUUGCCUUUCUUAUCAUUUAUUUGCUCCAGAGUUGCUUUGUCUUACUUUCCAACUUUACCCACCAGCAAACGAAACUUCAUUGGAAAAGUGGGAAGAUAGUAUGGGCAACAAACAUUCAAAAAAGAAGUCCUAAAAAUUCAUUAGUAACCAAAGGAAUACAGAUGAAAAUGACUCUGUGAUAAGAAAUGAUAUUAAACAGUGUGUCAAGUGUUGGAAGGGAUGUGUUGCUAUAAAAUUUAUGCACCGCUGGGCAUAAUGGAGACACCUUCACCCAUCACAGAAACCAAUCUGGCAGAUCUAAAGAGCAACUUGUGAGAGGACACUUCUCUUAGCAAAUUUGUGAGUGAAGUGUUGAAGUCUGUUAGGUGCUUAUCACUGGUAAGUAGG
Long non-coding RNA from Chinchilla lanigera (long-tailed chinchilla), 838 nucleotides. RefSeq lists it as uncharacterized. NCBI's taxonomy places the organism in Eukaryota, Metazoa, Chordata, Mammalia, Rodentia, Chinchillidae. The record is from RefSeq and is a predicted model, not a curated record. The transcript has 4 exons.